UGGAAACGACUGCUAAUACCGCAUAAGCCCACGGGUCGGCAUCGACCAGAGGGAAAAGGAGCAAUCCGCUUUGAGAUGGCCUCGCGUCCGAUUAGCUAGUUGGUGAGGUAAUGGCCCACCAAGGCAACGAUCGGUAGCCGGACUGAGAGGUUGAACAGCCACAUUGGGACUGAGACACGGCCCAGACUCCUACGGGAGGCAGCAUG
RNAcentral lists this ribosomal RNA (206 nucleotides) under uncultured bacterium. RNAcentral describes it as "partial 16S ribosomal RNA". It matches the Rfam family "Bacterial small subunit ribosomal RNA", at positions 151 to 353 of the family's 1533-position model. The record is from RNAcentral.